This 235-nucleotide unclassified non-coding RNA is filed under the name plant metagenome. RNAcentral's name for it is "partial contains small subunit ribosomal RNA, internal transcribed spacer 1, and 5.8S ribosomal RNA". The stretch from base 1 to 54 matches the Rfam family "Eukaryotic small subunit ribosomal RNA", at positions 1778 to 1831 of the family's 1831-position model. The record is from RNAcentral.
GGAAGUAUAAGUCGUAACAAGGUUUCCGUAGGUGAACCUGCGGAGGGAUCAUUCAUAAUAAGUGUUUUAUGGCACUUUUUUAAAUCCAUAUCCACCUUGUGUGCAAUGUCAGGGUUGAUUUUUCUCUCGAGAGGAUCAACCCCAAACAUCAACUAUAUCUCAACUCUUUGUCUGAAAAAUAUUAUGAAUAAAACAAUUCGGAAUACAACUUUCAACAACGGAUCUCUUGGCUCUC